ACCGAGUUGAGGGUCUGCGUCCUUAAACCGACGCGCCCGAACCUCCCAACCCUUUGUCUACUCAACCUCUGUUGCUUCGGCGGACCGUGUCCCUCGGUGAUUAUUCGCCUUGGGACCGCCGGGGGCCUGAAAUUGGUCCCGGGAGAGCCUUCGUCCGCCGACGGCCAAUAUCUCAAACUCUUGUACUAAACUACGUCGUCUGAACACAAACUAUGUUUUGAUUGUAUAAUCAUAAAACAAAACUUUCAACAACGGAUCUCUUGGUUCUGGCAUCGAUGAAGAACGCAGCGAAAUGCGAUAAGUAAUGCGAAUUGCAGAAUUUCCGUGAGUCAUCGAAUCUUUGAACGCACAUUGCGCCCAUUGGUAUUCCGAUGGGCAUGCCUGUUCGAGCGUCAUUAUCCUCCCUCAAACCUCGUGUUUGGUGUUGGGUCUUUCUUGGGGGAGAGCCGCCUGCCGUCCCGGCAUCCGACCCCCCCCCAGACCCCAAAGACAAUGGCGGCGUCCGAUGGGAUCCCCGGUGCAACGAGCUUCUCCGGAGCACGCACCGUGGCGGUUUCCCUCGGCCCGGUCGUAUAACCUUUUACUUUAACCAGGUUGACCUCGGAUCAGGUAGGAAUACCCGCUGAACUUAAGCAUAUCAA
RNAcentral lists this ribosomal RNA (641 nucleotides) under Cladophialophora pucciniophila. RNAcentral's name for it is "eukaryotic LSU rRNA". The stretch from base 241 to 395 matches the Rfam family "5.8S ribosomal RNA". The record is from RNAcentral. Lineage: Eukaryota; Fungi; Ascomycota; Eurotiomycetes; Chaetothyriales; Herpotrichiellaceae.